This 69-nucleotide transfer RNA is filed under the name Marmota marmota marmota (Alpine marmot). It matches the Rfam family "tRNA". Rfam says of the family: Transfer RNA (tRNA) molecules are approximately 80 nucleotides in length. Their secondary structure includes four short double-helical elements and three loops (D, anti-codon, and T loops). The record is from Rfam by way of RNAcentral. Lineage: Eukaryota; Metazoa; Chordata; Mammalia; Rodentia; Sciuridae. RNAcentral also lists the same sequence under 1 other name.
GGAGUUGUGGCUCAAUGGUAGAGCACUUACCUAGCAUGUAUGAGGCACUGGGUUUGAUCCUCAGCACCA